RNAcentral lists this ribosomal RNA (292 nucleotides) under uncultured eukaryote. RNAcentral's name for it is "partial 18S ribosomal RNA". It matches the Rfam family "Eukaryotic small subunit ribosomal RNA", at positions 6 to 299 of the family's 1831-position model. The record is from RNAcentral.
GGUUGAUCCUGCCAGUAGUAUACGCUUGUCUCAAAGAUUAAGCCAUGCAUGUAUAAGUAUAAACACCUUUAUACAGUGAAACUGCGUACGGCUCAUUAAAUCAGUUAUCAUUUCUUUGAAAGUGCAACUCUACAUGGAUACCCGUAGCAAAUCUAGAGCUAAUACAUGCGUAGAACCUCGACUUUUUGGAAGAGGUGUGUUUAUUAGAUUCGAACCCUCCAGCUUUCGGGCUGGUUGUUGGUGAUUCAUAGUAACCUUUCGGAUCGUUCUUUUACUAGAGCGAUGGUUCAUU